UACGGGGGGGGCAAGCGUUGUUCGGAAUUACUGGGCGUAAAGGGCUCGUAGGCGGCCAACUAAGUCAGACGUGAAAUCCCUCGGCUUAACCGGGGAACUGCAUCUGAUACUGGAUGGCUUGAGUUCGGGAGAGGGAUGUGGAAUUCCAGGUGUAGCGGUGAAAUGCGUAGAUAUCUGGAGGAACACCGGUGGCGAAGGCGGCAUCCUGGACCAAUAUUGACGCUGAGGAGCGAAAGCCAGGGGAGCAAACGGG
This 253-nucleotide ribosomal RNA is filed under the name uncultured bacterium. RNAcentral describes it as "partial 16S ribosomal RNA". It matches the Rfam family "Bacterial small subunit ribosomal RNA", at positions 524 to 776 of the family's 1533-position model. The record is from RNAcentral.